AUCGCUUCUCGGCCUUUUGGCUAAUAUCAUGUGUAGUAUCUGUUCUUGUCAGCUUAAUAUCUGACACGCUGAGUAUUUCCUGAUGCCAAUAAUAAACUGAUUUUUGCUUCUCGAGUUAAUACCCAUGCUUGCUUCAGUUGACUCACGGAUUGUCCUGGUCUUACAUUACCAUCAUGAUAAGUCUGCUUCAG
This is a small nuclear RNA of Symsagittifera roscoffensis, 191 nucleotides long. RefSeq annotates it as U2 spliceosomal RNA. The transcript has a single exon. The record is from RefSeq and is a predicted model, not a curated record. Lineage: Eukaryota; Metazoa; Xenacoelomorpha; Acoela; Convolutidae.